Leopardus geoffroyi (Geoffroy's cat) is the source of this 2456-nucleotide long non-coding RNA. RefSeq lists it as uncharacterized. Lineage: Eukaryota; Metazoa; Chordata; Mammalia; Carnivora; Felidae. The transcript is spliced from 2 exons. The record is from RefSeq and is a predicted model, not a curated record.
AAUACAGCUACUAGAUUACAAUCCUUUCAUUUUCAAUAAUGAAGAUGAGAGUUACCAUUUGUGAGAUUUGCUGUAUGUCAGGCCCCAGAUUAGGUGAUUUCCAUGUUAUCUCUGAUCCUUAUAACUCUGAAGGUGGACCGCCUGGGUCCAUUUAUCCACGACCGCAUAAGAAACCAACCCCAAAACAGCAACACGAAACUAGUCAUUUUAUUAACUCAGAGACUCUCUGGGGUGGGAUUUGGGAAGAGCAUCCAGGUGACUGCUUAUCUCUGUUCCGUGAUGACUGGGGCCUUAGCUGCUGUGUUCCAGCACCAGUUCUCCCACUCCAACUACCACCAAUCAUAUCCUUUAUAAUAAAUCAGCAAAACAAGUAAAGUUUUUUUUCCCCCGGCUUCUGUGAGUUGAUCUAGAAAAUUGCCAAACCGGAGGUGGGGGUGAGGGCAGUAUGGGAACCUCACAUCUGUAGUGAGCCGGGCAGAAGUAUGAGUAGUCUGGACUUCCCGUUUACAGCUGGCAUCCGAAGUGGGACUGAGCCCUUUCACUGUGGGUAGAUGACGUCAGCCCUUUAGCUGCAUGCAUAGUAUCAGCAAGGGAUUGAAUUGUUGGACACCCAGGUGGCAGAGAAUUGGUUGUCGGUGUAGAAAAAAAAACUCCACACGGUCUCCCAUAAGCUUCUACGUGCCAACUCUGAGUUCUAAGCCCAAUCUACUUUGAUUCAAGGCUCUCCUCUGUCCACAACAUUGCAUCUCGAUACCAAAAUCUCCAAAGCUUUGGGUUCCCUUUGCGUAUCACCUUCUCUUGCCAUCUGACCGUCAUCUGACCUUAUCACGAUCCCUUUGAUUCUCUUUUAUCAUCCGUGAAGCCAUUUGUUCUCAGAUUUCAUUUCUGCCUGGAAACAAGGGACAGACAUGUCCCUGUGCACAAUGCAUUCCCUUCGGGGUCCCAGGCCACAGGCAUAGAUGAGGGAGCUCUGGGGACAAGACACAGAGCUGACACUGACACCCCCCCCCCUUCAUUUUCUCACAGGAGACAGGUGCAGACAGGGAGCUCACUAUUGGGAUAACACUGCUGUCUGCUUUAAAACACAUGAGAAGUGAAUCCUUUGCCACGUCGGGUACUUAAAUAUUUUUCCUUAUAAUCAACAAGCAGCCAGCUUUGCCACUGGAUGAGGCACUGUGGUUUGAGUUCACAGCUUAAAACACUUGGCUGUGGUGGACCCACCAGGUAAGAAGCUUUGUAAGGUGACCAGUAUGCCACUGAGUCCUGUCUGCGAUACACAGCUUCAUUCAUUUUACUUAAUGAGGACGUCAUCGGUCAGUUCUUGCAAAAUUCCAAAGAGGCAGAAAGGCUGCUUGAUUGAGACUCAUUUCCCCUGGCUGUGGACUGACUUUAUUAUCCAUAAUUAAUGGUGAGUAACUCGGUAGAUGGUAUCCCUUUGUAAGCAUGAAUUUCUAACCAAAGAACAUCUUUCAGCUCCGAUCAUUGUUCAAUUGAAUGUUGCCAUGGGACUACAGCUAUUUAUUCCUGCACAGUGUUUUUCCAGAGAACUGUGAUGUGGCUCUGGUGACAGAGUGUAUGUUUCAUAGCUAUGCAAUCCUUUCCUUUUUUCUUCUCUCUCUCUUAUUUAGCAAAGAGAAACAAAAGACCCUCACCAUAUGUGUAACAUUUCCCAUGAAUACGUUAGAGUGUCAGAAGGGAGACCGAUGCCGGAAGAUCCUGGCAGGGUAGAGGCCCCUCCUGACCGUUUCAUUUCUGUUUUCAUCUGGUGAUGUGCUAGAAAGUAGAUUUGACAUGAAGAACCGAAGAUCAUCCAGAAAUUGCUGAACACCCCGAUCGUGUGCAUCAGUGGUUCCAAACAGAUACAUCCUGGAAUAAUAAGCCCAUGGGUUUUAGAGUAAAUAUGUUCCCUUUCUCCUCCUCAGUCAGGACCCUGGUGCCCGUCUAUUUCACGAUACAGAUGUGCAUAGGGAACAGCUGUUGGGUUUGCCUGCCUUUUAUUCAUCCCAUCUUUUUCAGCUAAAACACUUCAGUUUUCUUUUGGGGAUCCACCCCUCUCCGGGGGUGACAGUCAAAGUGUAUAACAACUGGAAUGACAUGGGUAUUACCACACCCACACAAUCGGAAUGGAUGCUGACUGUGACACCUGCUGAACCCAGAUACGCUCAUUAGAUACUGUUUUGAUGAGUCCUGACAUCAAGAUGCCCUGACCUUCCUUCUCUAAGGGCCAAGCAUGGACCGAGCUAAGCCAAACAGACCCUCUGCCCUGAGAAUUUGCAUGCUGACAGGCAACACACACAAGGGCUGAAAACAUGUGGCACAGGUGGGUCCCAAACGUGUUGCCUGGAAAUGCCAGCUUCUCGUGUACCCUGCUUCCUGUCCUUUCCAAGACCUCAUUGUUCAGCUUUUCCUUUGUUCUAUAAACUAUAUCCAUUCAAUAAAUUUUAUUUAUUGAGUUA